This 421-nucleotide ribosomal RNA is filed under the name uncultured eukaryote. RNAcentral describes it as "SSU rRNA". It matches the Rfam family "Eukaryotic small subunit ribosomal RNA", at positions 592 to 1018 of the family's 1831-position model. The record is from RNAcentral.
CAAUAGCGUAUAUUAAAGUUGUUGCGGUUAAAAGCUCGUAGUUGGAUUUCUGCUGAGGACGACCGGUCCGCCCUCUGGGUGAGUAUCUGGCUCGGCCUUGGCAUCUUCUUGGGGAACGUAACUGCACUUGACUGUGUGGUGCGGUAUCCAGGACUUUUACUUUGAGGAAAUUAGAGUGUUUCAAGCAGGCGCACGCCUUGAAUACAUUAGCAUGGAAUAAUAAGAUAGGACCUUGGUUCUAUUUUGUUGGUUUCUAGACCCGGGGUAAUGAUUAAUAGGGACAAUUGGGGGCAUUUGUAUCAACACGUCAGAGGUGGAAUUCUUGGAUUGUGUUGCGACAAACUACUGCGAAAGCAUUUGCCAAGGAUGUUUUCAUUGAUCAAGAACGAAAGUAAGGGGAUCGAAGACGAUCAGAUACCAU